CAAGUGGGAGAAGUCCUUAAGAUCGAUUUCGAGAAGGCCUAUGACAAAGUGAACUGGGAGUUCCUACUUGAUUGUCAUGUUAAACGUGGAUUUAAUGCCAAGUGGUGCGGGUGGGUUUCGCAAAUCCUUAAAAAUGGGACAGUAAGUGUGAAGAUCAAUGAUGAGGUGGGACCGUAUAUUCAAAGUGCCAAGGGGGUACUCCAAGGCGACCCACAUUCUCCUUUCUUGUUUAACCUUGCAGCUGAGUGCUUGACUAAGAUGGUACUUGCUGCUCAAAACAAUGAUCUCAUCAAAGGGUUAGCCUCUGACCUGAUUGAGGGAGGGGUGGGUAUCCUCCAAUACGCUGAUGAUACAGUCCUAUGUUUCGAGCAU
RNAcentral lists this ribosomal RNA (372 nucleotides) under Triticum aestivum (bread wheat). Its description in RNAcentral is "partial small subunit ribosomal RNA". The record is from RNAcentral. Lineage: Eukaryota; Viridiplantae; Streptophyta; Magnoliopsida; Poales; Poaceae.